This 460-nucleotide ribosomal RNA is filed under the name uncultured bacterium. Its description in RNAcentral is "partial 16S ribosomal RNA". It matches the Rfam family "Bacterial small subunit ribosomal RNA", at positions 338 to 795 of the family's 1533-position model. The record is from RNAcentral.
CCUACGUGGUGCAGCAGUGAGGAAUAUUGGUCCAUGGGCGCGAGCCUGAACCAGCCAAGUCGCGUGAAGGAUGACUGCCCUACGGGUUGUAGCCUUCUUUUAUAAAGGAAUAAAGUGAGGCACGUUUGCCUUUUUGUAUGUACUUUAUGAAUAAGGAUCGGCUAACUCCGUGCCAGAAGCCGCGGUAAUACGGAGGAUCCGAGCGUUAUCCGGAUUUAUUGGGUUUAAAGGGAGCGUAGAUGGGUUGUUAAGUCAGUUGUGAAAGUUUGCGGCUCAACCGUAAAAUUGCAAUUGAUACUGGCAGUCUUGAGUACAGUUGAGGUAGGCGGAAUUCGUGGUGUAGCGGGGAAAUGCUUAGAUAUCACGAAGAACUCCGAUUGCGAAGGCAGCUUACUAAACUGCCACUGACAUUGAUGCUCGAAAGUGUGGGUAUCAAACAGGAUUAGAUACCCGAGUAGUC